AAGUCGUAACAAGGUUUCCGUAGGUGAACCUGCGGAAGGAUCAUUAACGAGUUAGGGUCUUCUAGGCCCGACCUCCCAACCCUAUGUUUAUUGAACCUCUGUUGCUUCGGCGGACCCGCCUCACGGCCGCCGGAGGACCGCUGCGAGGCGUCCUCUGGCCAGCGCCCGCCGAUGGCCAACCACUUAAACUCUGAAUGAAUCGUGUCAUAUGUCUAAGUCUAUGAUUAAAUUAAAGCAAAACUUUCAACAACGGAUCUCUUGGUUCUG
Molecule: unclassified non-coding RNA, 267 nt
Filed under: Cladophialophora chaetospira
Lineage: Eukaryota; Fungi; Ascomycota; Eurotiomycetes; Chaetothyriales; Herpotrichiellaceae
Description: partial internal transcribed spacer region
Rfam family: Eukaryotic small subunit ribosomal RNA (bases 1-46)
Source: RNAcentral